This 218-nucleotide ribosomal RNA is filed under the name uncultured bacterium. RNAcentral's name for it is "partial 16S ribosomal RNA". It matches the Rfam family "Bacterial small subunit ribosomal RNA", at positions 583 to 793 of the family's 1533-position model. The record is from RNAcentral.
UUAAGUCAGAUGUGAAAGACCCGGGGCGUUAACCUACGGAAUUGCAUUUGUAAACUAGGCAGGCUAGAGUCUUGUAGAGGGGGGUAGGAAUUUCUAGGUGUAGCGGUGAAAUGCGUAGAGAUCUGAAGGAAUACCAGUGGCGAAGGCGGCCCCCUGGACAAAGACUGACGCUCAGAUGCGAAAGCGUGGGGAGCAAACAGGAUUAGAUACCCUGGUAG